GAAACCGGGGCUAAUACCGGAUGCUUGUUUGAACCGCAUGGUUCAAACAUAAAAGGUGGCUUCGGCUACCACUUACAGAUGGACCCGCGGCGCAUUAGCUAGUUGGUGAGGUAACGGCUCACCAAGGCAACGAUGCGUAGCCGACCUGAGAGGGUGAUCGGCCACACUGGGACUGAGACACGGCCCAGACUCCUACGGGAGGCAGCAGUAGGGAAUCUUCCGCAAUGGACGAAAGUCUGACGGAGCAACGCCGCGUGAGUGAUGAAGGUUUUCGGAUCGUAAAGCUCUGUUGUUAGGGAAGAACAAGUACCGUUCGAAUAGGGCGGUACCUUGACGGUACCUAACCAGAAAGCCACGGCUAACUACGUGCCAGCAGCCGCGGUAAUACGUAGGUGGCAAGCGUUGUCCGGAAUUAUUGGGCGUAAAGGGCUCGCAGGCGGUUCCUUAAGUCUGAUGUGAAAGCCCCCGGCUCAACCGGGGAGGGUCAUUGGAAACUGGGGAACUUGAGUGCAGAAGAGGAGAGUGGAAUUCCACGUGUAGCGGUGAAAUGCGUAGAGAUGUGGAGGAACACCAGUGGCGAAGGCGACUCUCUGGUCUGUA
RNAcentral lists this ribosomal RNA (600 nucleotides) under Bacillus sp. M2-2(2009). RNAcentral describes it as "bacterial SSU rRNA". It matches the Rfam family "Bacterial small subunit ribosomal RNA", at positions 153 to 738 of the family's 1533-position model. Lineage: Bacteria; Bacillati; Bacillota; Bacilli; Caryophanales; Bacillaceae. The record is from RNAcentral.